RNAcentral lists this ribosomal RNA (495 nucleotides) under uncultured bacterium. Its description in RNAcentral is "partial 16S ribosomal RNA". It matches the Rfam family "Bacterial small subunit ribosomal RNA", at positions 28 to 507 of the family's 1533-position model. The record is from RNAcentral.
GACGAACGCUGGCGGCGUGCCUAAUACAUGCAAGUAGAACGCUGAAGGAGGAGCUUGCUUCUCUGGAUGAGUUGCGAACGGGUGAGUAACGCGUAGGUAACCUGCCUGGUAGCGGGGGAUAACUAUUGGAAACGAUAGCUAAUACCGCAUAAUAGUAGAUGUCGCAUGACAUUUGCUUAAAAGGUGCAAUUGCAUCACUACCAGAUGGACCUGCGUUGUAUUAGCUAGUUGGUGAGGUAACGGCUCACCAAGGCAACGAUACAUAGCCGACCUGAGAGGGGGAUCGGCCACACUGGGACUGGGACACGGCCCAGACUCCUACGGGAGGCAGCAGUAGGGGAACUUCGGCAAUGGACGGAAGUCUGACCGAGCAACGCCGCGUGAGUGAAGAAGGGUUUCGGAUCGUAAAGCUCUGUUGUAAGAGAAGAACGAGUGUGAGAGUGGAAAGUUCACACUGUGACGGUAUCUUACCAGAAAGGGACGGCUAACUACGUG